This 171-nucleotide non-coding RNA is filed under the name Synergistes sp. The record is from RNAcentral. Lineage: Bacteria; Thermotogati; Synergistota; Synergistia; Synergistales; Synergistaceae.
AAUGAAAAAUUGAAUAUCUGUUUCUGCGGAGUAUGGGAAUCCGGUAAAAAGCCGGAACGGCCCCUGCCACCGUGAUCGGGACGAAGCCGCAUCAAGCCACUGUCGAAAGAUGGGAAGGCGCGGCCAAGGAAGACCGAGAGUCGGGAAACCUGCCGCGGAAACAUAUUGAGC